RNAcentral lists this ribosomal RNA (115 nucleotides) under Gymnogobius uchidai. RNAcentral describes it as "partial 16S ribosomal RNA". Lineage: Eukaryota; Metazoa; Chordata; Actinopteri; Gobiiformes; Gobiidae. The record is from RNAcentral.
GUACUCCUAGCAGCUAGCCCCCCCCCCAAAAACAACAAACACCAUUAAUAACCCCUGAUAAACCACACCCUAAAAAACAAACCAUUUUUCCUCCCUAGUAUGGGCGACAGAAAAG